UACAGAUGGGGCAAGCGUUGUUCGGAAUUACUGGGCGUAAAGGGCGCGUAGGCGGCCGCCUAAGUCAGACGUGAAAUCCCUCGGCUCAACCGGGGAACUGCGUCUGAUACUGGGUGGCUUGAAUCCGGGAGAGGGAUGCGGAAUUCCAGGUGUAGCGGUGAAAUGCGUAGAUAUCUGGAGGAACACCGGUGGCGAAGGCGGCAUCCUGGACCGGUAUUGACGCUGAGGCGCGAAAGCCAGGGGAGCAAACGGG
This 253-nucleotide ribosomal RNA is filed under the name uncultured bacterium. RNAcentral describes it as "partial 16S ribosomal RNA". It matches the Rfam family "Bacterial small subunit ribosomal RNA", at positions 524 to 776 of the family's 1533-position model. The record is from RNAcentral.